UGCAUGCGGUUUGAUACUGUGUUUCGCUUCGCUACAUUGUGGAGCGCGACGCGUCUCGUUCCCGUGUUAUGCUACCUAGAUGCGUGUAUAUCUCGUUCACCUUUGAUCUUUGACCCCUUGUUAAUUAGAGAUAUUUUGCAUGUCUCGGCCCUCCUAUCGAUCGAUACCAUUUUUUCUGGUCUUUCCAGUGUAUGCAAUCUUGCUCAGCGUCUUGUGGAGGGUGGCGGCGAGUUCGCGUGGUAGCGCGUUGGCGCGGCGCGCCGACUGCGUUGCCGCGUGAUCAUCCGGGCGCUCCGGGUGGGUGUGCGGUGGUCUGGGACACCCGGUGUAUACUAGCAAGAAAAGUUUUUAUUUUUCUAAUUUUCCUAGUUUAUAAAAUAAACUCAAAAAACGAAGUAGCAAUGUUGCGAUGAGAUAAUUCUACACUUAAAUUUAAAAAUUUCUUUACAAUAAAAAAAAUACGCUGUUAAUGUACUGAUAAUUAGAUAAUAGUAAAUAUUUUCGGUUUUCUUAAAAUAAAAUCAACAGGUAAUAUACGAUUAGAAUCCCUUUUUAAUCAAUAAGAAGUCAACAAACCGAACUAAAAGUUAAAUCUUGCAUAACAUCCAUGUCACUCAAGGUCUGGGACAUUGCAUUUCUCGUUUUAAACCGAUACUGUACUAAAUGGUUCAGUGGAGCCACAGACAAAACAAGAAAAUUAAUUUUAAGACAAAAAGUUUUAAGCUGUCAGUUAAAAAUAUAAUAACGACAUAAAAUAAUAUAAUUCAAAAUGUUUAAUAAGUAAUGUUCCCUCUAAUUUUUUGAUGGCGUGCCAGAAAAAUCGUCACAGGUAAAAAAUACGAAAUUUCAAAUUGUAUUAUUGUUUUCAUAGCUUGUGAUUUAAUAUAUAAAACAGAAUGCAACA
This 904-nucleotide long non-coding RNA is filed under the name Androctonus crassicauda. The record is from RNAcentral. Lineage: Eukaryota; Metazoa; Arthropoda; Arachnida; Scorpiones; Buthidae.